AGUGAACGCUGGCGGUAGGCCUAACACAUGCAAGUCGAACGGCAGCACAGUAAGAUCUUGCUCUUACGGGUGGCGAGUGGCGGACGGGUGAGGAAUACAUCGGAAUCUACUUUUUCGUGGGGGAUAACGUAGGGAAACUUACGCUAAUACCGCAUACGACCUACGGGUGAAAGCAGGGGAUCUUCGCACCUUGCGCGAUUGAAUGAGCCGAUGUCGGAUUAGCUAGUUGGCGGGGUAAAGGCCCACCAAGGCGACGAUCCGUAGCUGGUCUGAGAGGAUGAUCAGCCACACUGGAACUGAGACACGGUCCAGACUCCUACGGGAGGCAGCAGUGGGGAAUAUUGGACAAAGGGCGCAAGCCUGAUCCAGCCAUACCGCGUGGGUGAAGAAGGCCUUCGGGUUGUAAAGCCCUUUUGUUGGGAAAGAAAAGCAGCAGGUUAAUACCCCGCUGUUCUGACGGUACCCAAAGAAUAAGCACCGGCUAACUUCGUG
This 492-nucleotide ribosomal RNA is filed under the name uncultured bacterium. RNAcentral's name for it is "partial 16S ribosomal RNA". It matches the Rfam family "Bacterial small subunit ribosomal RNA", at positions 29 to 507 of the family's 1533-position model. The record is from RNAcentral.